UCCUUAGUAGCUCAGUGGUAGAGCAAUCGGCUGUUAACCGAUUGGUCGCUGGUUCAAGUCCAGCCUAAGGAG
Molecule: transfer RNA, 72 nt
Filed under: Chlorobotrys sp.
Lineage: Eukaryota; Eustigmatophyceae; Eustigmatales; Chlorobotryaceae
Description: tRNA-Asn
Rfam family: tRNA
About the family: Transfer RNA (tRNA) molecules are approximately 80 nucleotides in length.
Source: RNAcentral